RNAcentral lists this ribosomal RNA (433 nucleotides) under Streptomyces albogriseolus. RNAcentral's name for it is "bacterial SSU rRNA". It matches the Rfam family "Bacterial small subunit ribosomal RNA", at positions 8 to 444 of the family's 1533-position model. The record is from RNAcentral. Lineage: Bacteria; Bacillati; Actinomycetota; Actinomycetes; Kitasatosporales; Streptomycetaceae.
AGAGUUUGAUCAUGGCUCAGGACGAACGCUGGCGGCGUGCUUAACACAUGCAAGUCGAACGAUGAACCACUUCGGUGGGGAUUAGUGGCGAACGGGUGAGUAACACGUGGGCAAUCUGCCCUGCACUCUGGGACAAGCCCUGGAAACGGGGUCUAAUACCGGAUACUGACCCGCUUGGGCAUCCAAGCGGUUCGAAAGCUCCGGCGGUGCAGGAUGAGCCCGCGGCCUAUCAGCUAGUUGGUGAGGUAAUGGCUCACCAAGGCGACGACGGGUAGCCGGCCUGAGAGGGCGACCGGCCACACUGGGACUGAGACACGGCCCAGACUCCUACGGGAGGCAGCAGUGGGGAAUAUUGCACAAUGGGCGAAAGCCUGAUGCAGCGACGCCGCGUGAGGGAUGACGGCCUUCGGGUUGUAAACCUCUUUCAGCAGGG